AUUUGAUAGUGUUUUUGGUACAUCAAUCGACCAGUUGUUCUCUUUUAACGGACGGGGUCUUAAAGAAUUUAAUGAGUCACUAUGCGGAUGCACAAUUAGUGGAACUUCACAACUCAACAAGAGAAAAUUUUUGAACAAUGACUGCAAUAAAAGUGAUACCCUGAUGCAUCGGUUCCAAAAGGUAAGAAGACAGGGUCGCAAUAUUACA
Molecule: unclassified non-coding RNA, 208 nt
Filed under: Hevea brasiliensis (rubber tree)
Lineage: Eukaryota; Viridiplantae; Streptophyta; Magnoliopsida; Malpighiales; Euphorbiaceae
Source: RNAcentral